CCAAAGAUGGUGGGCCCCCGCGCCCCCGUCCCCAACCCAGUGUUGACUAAAACCUUUUUGCCUCGGGGGCAGAGCGUCCGCCGCCGCCCCCGGAGGACCAUUAAACGCUGUCUCGUUGCGUCAGAGUAAUUGAUAUAAAUGAAUGA
RNAcentral lists this unclassified non-coding RNA (146 nucleotides) under uncultured Capnodiales. RNAcentral's name for it is "sequence contains ITS1". Lineage: Eukaryota; Fungi; Ascomycota; Dothideomycetes; Capnodiales. The record is from RNAcentral.